GACGAACGCUGGCGGCAUGCUUAACACAUGCAAGUCGAACGGGUCUGCCCUGUUUUUUGCGGGGUGGGUCAGUGGCGAACGGGUGAGUAACACGUGAGUAACCUGCCCCUCACUUCUGGAUAACCGCUUGAAAGGGUGGCUAAUACGGGGUGUUCUGGCUGUGCCGCAUGGUGUGGCUGGGAAAGAUUCACUUUUGUGGUGUUUUGGUGGGGGAUGGGCUCGCGGCCUAUCAGCUUGUUGGUGGGGUGAUGGCCUGCCAAGGCUUUGACGGGUAGCCGGCCUGGGAGGGUGGGCGGUCACACUGGGACUGAGAUACGGCCCAGACUCCUGCGGGAGGCAGCAGUGGGGGGUAUUGCACAAUGGGCGGAAGCCUGAUGCAGCGACGUCGCGUGAGGGAUGGAGGCCUUCGGGUUGUGAACCUCUUUCGCCGGUGAAGAAGGUCCUGCUCUUUGUGGUGGGGUUGACGGUAGCCGGGUUAUGAAGCGCCGGCUAACUACGUG
RNAcentral lists this ribosomal RNA (500 nucleotides) under uncultured bacterium. Its description in RNAcentral is "partial 16S ribosomal RNA". It matches the Rfam family "Bacterial small subunit ribosomal RNA", at positions 28 to 507 of the family's 1533-position model. The record is from RNAcentral.